RNAcentral lists this ribosomal RNA (253 nucleotides) under uncultured bacterium. RNAcentral's name for it is "partial 16S ribosomal RNA". It matches the Rfam family "Bacterial small subunit ribosomal RNA", at positions 524 to 776 of the family's 1533-position model. The record is from RNAcentral.
GACGUAGGGCGCGAGCGUUGUCCGGAUUUAUUGGGCGUAAAGAGCUCGUAGGCGGCUUGUUGCGUCGACUGUGAAAACCCGCGGCUUAACUGCGGGCUUGCAGUUGAUACGGGCAGGCUAGAGUUCGGUAGGGGAGACUGGAAUUCCUGGUGUAGCGGUGAAAUGCGCAGAUAUCAGGAGGAACACCCGUAGCGAAGGCGGCACUCUGGGCCGAUACUGACACUGAGGAGCGAAAGCGUGGGGAGCGAACAGG